RNAcentral lists this long non-coding RNA (1022 nucleotides) under Gallus gallus (chicken). RNAcentral describes it as "lncRNA (ENSGALG00010010074.1)". The record is from RNAcentral. Lineage: Eukaryota; Metazoa; Chordata; Aves; Galliformes; Phasianidae.
GGUUGGUAAGAAGUGAAACCAACUCUGUUACACGUUUCCUGCUGUAUUCUGAAUUCUUGCACAAGGACAGAAGUGUUUGGCUGAGAAGAGAACAAAUUCAUGUUUCCCAUGUGCACAUACUUACCAUAUAAAGCAGAUUGUCUUCCCUGGAAAUGAAGGAUGAAACGUCUCUCCACAUAAAUUACUGGGAGGUUUUCUUUAAACUUCAAUGAAGCAAUCUAAAGAUAUUAAGAGAUGAAGAAAAUUAGCAUAAUCAGCUCAUGCUUCUUAAUCCCCCUAGUCCAACCCAGAAAUAUUCCCUGUAUGUUAUUGGUUAACACUUUUGUCCAGGCCAGGUUUUUAUGACCUGUAGUUUCCCUGUUCCUCUGACUGUCCUUGUCAGCUCACUAUUUGCAUCUUGGACUUUAAAGAAAGAUGCACCACACACAAUACAUACUUUAAAAGUAUACUGAGUAUAAUGGAGAAAGAAGAGUGGAGUGCAGUAUGGGAGCUACAAAAGAAAAUGCUUUCAAAGCUUUUAUUUUAUGAAGACAUUAAAUACAUGUCUUUUUGAUUCCUUCCUGUCAAAAAGCUGCUCAGAUCUGGUAGUGACUGGAGCUGACAGCCAGGAUGGAGGCCACUGGUGGAAGAGCACAACAGGACGGCUUGGAGCAGUGAUUAAUCUGAACACGAGGGAAUUUCCUGAAAGAUAAAAUGUUUCCAUCAGCACAAGCACUGAAGGCUCAGAACUACCACUGCAGCUGUACAGCACAAAGCGUGGCUGAGGUCAGAUAAACUGCUGUGAUCGCAGCAUUUGCUCUUCCAUGUGCUUCAUGCAAUAUAUCAGAACCAUUUCUACUUCUCUCUCUCAAUCAGAGACACCAAAGUUCUUUGGAACUUUUGUCUGGCCUUUGAAAAAAAAUGCAGCUGCCCUGACUGUCGGGCUAUUCCAGAGUCCUGUUUUAGGAAAGGCACUGUUCUCUGUGAACAAAUGGAUAUGGAGCAAUCAAGAAGUAAUGGCCAAGAACACCAUCAGAACAGAG